Molecule: ribosomal RNA, 253 nt
Filed under: uncultured bacterium
Lineage: Bacteria
Description: partial 16S ribosomal RNA
Rfam family: Bacterial small subunit ribosomal RNA
Source: RNAcentral
UACGUAGGGGGCGGGCGUUAUCCGGAAUUACUGGGCGUAAAGGGUGCGUAGGCGGCUUGCACAGUCAGGCGUGAAAUUCCUGGGCUCAACCUGGGGACUGCGCUUGAGACGUGUGGGCUUGAGUGGGGAAGAGGGUCGUGGAAUUCCCAGUGUAGAGGUGAAAUUCGUAGAUAUUGGGAAGAACACCGGUGGCGAAGGCGGCGACCUGGUCCUUGACUGACGCUGAGGCGCGAAAGCGUGGGGAGCAAACAGG